Molecule: ribosomal RNA, 2827 nt
Filed under: human gut metagenome
Description: bacterial LSU rRNA
Rfam family: Bacterial large subunit ribosomal RNA
Source: RNAcentral
UCAAGUUAUUAAGGGUGCAGGGCGAAUGCCUUGGCACUAGGAGCCGAUGAAGGACGUGAUAAGCUGCGAUAAGCUUCGGGGAGUUGCACGUAAACUUUGAUCCGAAGAUUUCCGAAUGAGGAAACUCACUUAGAGUAAUGUCUAAGUAUCGUUAAGUGAAUACAUAGCUUAGCGAGGGGAACCCGGGGAACUGAAACAUCUAAGUACCCGGAGGAAGAGAAAGAAAUUCGAUUCCGUAAGUAGCGGCGAGCGAACGCGGAACAGGCCAAACCAAUGAAGUUUACUUCGUUGGGGUUGCGGACAUACAACAUGGAUGCAAUAUCGUAAAUGAAGAGAGUUGGAAAGCUCCGCCAUAGAAGGUAAUAGCCCUGUAGUUGAAACGAGAAAGCUACUAGUAUGAUCCAGAGUACCACGGGACACGUGAAACCCUGUGGGAAGCAGGAGGGACCAUCCUCCAAGCCUAAAUACUACCUAGUGACCGAUAGCGCAUAGUACCGUGAGGGAAAGGUGAAAAGAACCCCGGGAGGGGAGUGAAAGAGAACCUGAAACCCUGUGUUUACAAGCUGUGGAAGUGCUUUAUAUGCACAACCGCGUACUUUUUGUAGAACGGUCCGGCGAGUUACGGGUACCGGCAAGGUUAAGCACUUAAGGUGUGGAGCCGAAGGGAAACCAAGUCUGAACAGGGCGUCAAGUCAGUAUCCGUAGACCCGAAACCGGGUGAUCUACCCAUGUCCAGGUUGAAGUUGCCGUAAAAGGCAAUGGAGGACCGAACGCACAUCCGUUGAAAAGGGUGGCGAUGAGGUGUGGAUAGCGGAGAAAUUCCAAUCGAACCCGGAGAUAGCUGGUUCUCCCCGAAAUAGCUUUAGGGCUAGCGUUGCGAUAGAUUACCGAAGGUAGAGCACUGAAUAGGCUAGGGGGCGAUGAGCUUACUGAACCUUAUCAAACUUCGAAUGCCGGAUAAUUGAUGCAUAGCAGUCAGACAGUGUGAGAUAAGUUUCAUUGUCGAAAGGGAAACAGCCCAGACCCACAGCUAAGGUCCCAAAUAUAUGCUAAGUGGAAAACGAUGUGGGGUUGCGAAAACAACCAGGAUGUUGGCUUAGAGGCAGCCACUCAUUAAAAGAGUGCGUAAUAGCUCACUGGUCGAGUGACCCUGCGCGGAAAAUGUAACGGGGCUAAGCAUAUAACCGAAGCUUGGGAUAUCCAAUGGAUAUGGUAGGGGAGCGUCGAAUACGGGGCGAAGUCGUAGCGGAAGCAACGGUGGACUGUAUUCGAGUGAGAAUGCCGGAAUGAGUAGCGAGAAUUAUGUGGGAAUCAUAAUGGCCGAAAAUCUAAGGUUUCUUGGGGAAGGUUCGUCCGCCCAAGGUAAGCCGGGAGCUAAGGCGAGGCCGCAAGGCGUAGUCGAUGCACAUACGGUAGAAAUUCCGUAGCCACCGAACUUUAAACCAGAAGGACACUUGCAGAUAGCGGAACCCAGCCGUUGGUUGAGCUGGGCGAAAGGGACUGAAAUAUAGUAGGGAAGUCCGCGAUGCUGUGAGGCGAGAAAAGCUCUGGUGUAUACUAAGGUGCCCGUACCGCAAACCGACACAGGUAGAUGAGGAGAGAAUCCUAAGGCCAACGGGAGAAGGGUUGUUAAGGAACUCGGCAAAUUGACCCCGUAACUUCGGGAGAAGGGGUGCUCCAGAGAUGGAGCCGCAGAGAAUCGGCCCAAGCAACUGUUUACCAAAAACACAGGUUUGUGCUAAAUCGAAAGAUGACGUAUACGAGCUGACGCCUGCCCGGUGCUGGAAGGUUAAAAGGAGAUGUGCAAGCAUUGAAUUGAAGCCCCAGUGAACGGCGGCCGUAACUAUAACGGUCCUAAGGUAGCGAAAUUCCUUGUCAGGUAAGUUCUGACCCGCACGAAAGGUGUAACGAUUUGGGCGCUGUCUCGGCAGCAGACUCGGUGAAAUCUUAGUACCUGUGAAAAUGCAGGUUACCCGCAACUAGACGGAAAGACCCCAUGGAGCUUUACUGCAGCCUGAUAUUGAAUUCUGGUCAUACAUGUACAGGAUAGGUGGGAGACAAAGAGACGUGCACGCCAGUGUACGAGGAGUCGACGUUGGGAUACCACUCUUGUGUGACCGGGGUUCUAACCUGGUAUCGAGAACAGGUACGGGGAGAGUGUCAGGUGGGCAGUUUGACUGGGGCGGUCGCCUCCCAAAGAGUAACGGAGGCGCCCAAAGGUUCCCUCAGAAUGGUUGGAAAUCAUUCAUAGAGUGUAAAGGCAGAAGGGAGCUUGACUGCGAGACGGACAGGUCGAGCAGGAACGAAAGUUGGGCUUAGUGAACCGGCUGUGCUGAAUGGAAAGGCAGUCGAUCAACGGACAAAAGCUACCCUGGGGAUAACAGGCUGAUCUCCCCCAAGAGUUCACAUCGACGGGGAGGUUUGGCACCUCGAUGUCGGCUCAUCGCAUCCUGGAGCGGAAGUACGUUCCAAGGGUUGGGCUGUUCGCCCAUUAAAGCGGUACGCGAGCUGGGUUCAGAACGUCGUGAGACAGUUCGGUCCCUAUCUGUUGUGGGCGAAGGAGAUCUGCGGAGAGCUGUCCUCAGUACGAGAGGACCGGGAUGGACCUACCGCUGGUGCACCGGUUGUUCCGCCAGGGGCAUAGCCGGGUAGCUAAGUAGGGAAAGGAUAAGCGCUGAAAGCAUCUAAGCACGAAGCCUACUCCAAGAUGAGAUCUCCCAUUCGCAAGAAGUAAGACCCCUUAAAGACGAUAAGGUAGAUAGGCCAGGGAUGGAAGUGCAGUGAUGUACGGAGUUGACUGGUACUAAUCGGUCGAGGACUUAAUCAG